CCCGCCCCUUUUGGGGAGCCACCCCCGAAUUCGAUCCCGGGACGACGAAAGGGAGCGAAAAAUCGCCUCAGCCGGAAGCAGCUGGAGCGCUGCUGGAGUCACGUGGAAGGGGUGAUGAAAGCUUGUACCAGUCUUCCUGUGAUGAAAACCUGGAAUCUUACAGUUACUAUGAAAUGGGAUUUUGAACAAGCGGGACAUUCACUUUCAUUGCUGAAUGAGCCAGUAAAGAUGUAGAAGAA
Sphaerodactylus townsendi is the source of this 239-nucleotide long non-coding RNA. RefSeq lists it as uncharacterized. Lineage: Eukaryota; Metazoa; Chordata; Lepidosauria; Squamata; Sphaerodactylidae. The record is from RefSeq and is a predicted model, not a curated record. The transcript is spliced from 2 exons.